UAAUUUUGAGAAAAAUGGGUGAAAAUUUGGGUUCUGGGAGUGUUUUUGAAAAAAAAAUCAGAAACUGUGGGGUCAAAAUAUAGUUUAGGAAAAAUGUGCCACGUAUGACUGCCCAGUCAGCAGCCCCGACGAAGCAGAGCGUGUCGCGUGGCAAGGCACGUUGACACAGUGCCACGCGGGAGGCCACGCUAGCAAUCCGCGUGCUCACGAUCGGACAGUUCGAAAUUAUUUCUGCGUGUGUGGACGGUCCGGGUCCGUUCCCUCCUCAGGGGCGAUCGUACGGUCCAUAUGAAAUCACAAUAAACGGUCCAAAUCAUCUCUUAUUUAAACGCGAUCGGAUGGUCGAGAUCGAACGCGAUGGACGAUCCAGAUUAAAGCGAGACGGAUAUUAAUACCUCACUUCACACCAAACCCUAAUCCUAGUCGCCAGCCCACCCGCCGGAUAAGAAGAACUAGUCACUGGGAGAUAGAGUCGACCGUUGUCCGCCGCCGUGCCAGAGCCACCUCUGACCGCCAAAAGAGGUAAAAAAUUUCUCAUUCCUCGAAAUUCGAUUUUGAACACCCACAUGACUAAAUCGAAGCAUAAGGACUGGCGAAUGAGCCAGAAAUCGUGGGUAAAUUCCGGCGCCGCCGCCACGAGAAAAAUAAAAAACCACCUCUGAUGAGGCCCUUCU
Molecule: long non-coding RNA, 674 nt
Filed under: Carica papaya (papaya)
Lineage: Eukaryota; Viridiplantae; Streptophyta; Magnoliopsida; Brassicales; Caricaceae
Description: long non-coding RNA (CPAP_LNC011293)
Source: RNAcentral